CUACUAUUUUCUCCGUCCAACAAAAGAUGUAUCAACUUUGUCACAAUUUGAAUGUAUUUAGACAUGACUUAGCGUAUAGAUGCAUUAAAAGCUAGUCAAAGUUGAGACAUCCUUUGUUGGACGGAGGAAGUACCUC
Molecule: non-coding RNA, 136 nt
Organism: Brachypodium distachyon (stiff brome)
Lineage: Eukaryota; Viridiplantae; Streptophyta; Magnoliopsida; Poales; Poaceae
Source: Rfam